GCUUCUCCUCCGUUUUACCCCUCUAGUUCCUCCACUAAAGAGAUCAAUGUGACUCACAAGAAGGAACUGCAAACUGGGACAAGUAGCCGCAGUGCUCAUCCUUCUGUUUUAGGAGAUAAUUCUGCUGCGUCACAAUCAAAUUCAGUGUUACGAGGGAAGAAUGGCAGCGAUUCUGUUAGUAUUGACAAACUUCAUAUUUCUGAUCCUAUUACUGCUGUAGCUUCAAAGAUUUCACCCGGCUUGCAGUUGGCUCCUGGUUCCUCGACAAUAAGUCCUACUCAGUCACAACCAUUGAGAGGCCAAGGAAGAGGAUUUAAUGCAAUGCCAAAUGUGAAUUACCAAUCUCCUGUGAUAAACAACCAAUUCAACAGAGCUCCUCAGCCGACAAAUCUCAAUUCGACUCAGAGGAAUCCUGUUCUAGGUCGAGGGCAACCUACUUUCCAAGCUACUGGUCAACAGUUUGCUCAGCGAUCUGGUACUAGAUCUCAAGGUUCAUCUCCACCCAAAGCUGGACAAUCUAUCUCUGAAACUGG
RNAcentral lists this unclassified non-coding RNA (533 nucleotides) under Hevea brasiliensis (rubber tree). The record is from RNAcentral. Lineage: Eukaryota; Viridiplantae; Streptophyta; Magnoliopsida; Malpighiales; Euphorbiaceae.